GGAUGUAACGACUGGCGGCGUAGCUUAACUACAUAGCAAGUCGAACGAAGACACUCUUUUAGAGUUUCCUUCGGGGGAAGAAGGAAAGUUGUGGACUGAGUGGCGGACGGGUGAGUAACGCGUGGGCAACCUGCCCCAUACAGGGGGAUAACAGCCGGAAACGGCUGCUAAAACCGCAUAAGCGCACAAGGGCCGCAUGGCCUGGUGUGAAAAACUCCGGUGGUAUGGGAUGGGCCCGCGUCUGAUUAGCUAGUUGGCGGGGGAGAGGCCCACCAAGGCGACGAUCAGUAGCCGACCUGAGAGGGUGGCCGGCCACAUUGGGACUGAGACACGGCCCAAACUCCUACGGGAGGCAGCAGUGGGGAAUAUUGCACAAUGGGGGGAAACCCUGAUGCAGCGACGCCGCGUGAGCGAAGAAGUAUUUCGGUAUGUAAAGCUCUAUCAGCAGGGAAGAAGCAAGACGGUACCUGACCAAGAAGCCCCGGCUAACUACGUG
Molecule: ribosomal RNA, 496 nt
Filed under: uncultured Lachnospiraceae bacterium
Lineage: Bacteria; Bacillati; Bacillota; Clostridia; Lachnospirales; Lachnospiraceae
Description: bacterial SSU rRNA
Rfam family: Bacterial small subunit ribosomal RNA
Source: RNAcentral